AAAACAUCUUAUGCCAUUUCAUGAGGUCCUCCAACAACCUCAUAAGAGGUUUAUAGAUGUAAUAGGAAUUGUCAUUCAUUUGGCGCCGUUAGAGCACAUCGGUGGAAGGCCGUACAGAGAGGCCAUACUAAUGGAUUCCAGGUGGGAUAUAAUCGUCGUGGGUAUAUGGCCUGAACUGUUGCAAAGAAAUGCUCUACGGUGGGUGUUAGCUAGAGAAAACAAGAGCAUAAUUAUCGGAACUAUGCUGCGUCGUAACAAGCUACACAGAUGCUUGCAAACCUCGGACCAUAGCACUGUUGAAUUCGAUCCAGAUCAUCACACCACACAACGGUUGCAGACAAUUCGGCGCUCCAUGAUCCAAAAUCCGAGGAGUGCUUUAAUCAACAAUUAUCUAGAGAGGA
This 401-nucleotide unclassified non-coding RNA is filed under the name Zea mays. RNAcentral's name for it is "misc RNA Zm00001eb282200". Lineage: Eukaryota; Viridiplantae; Streptophyta; Magnoliopsida; Poales; Poaceae. The record is from RNAcentral.